This 813-nucleotide ribosomal RNA is filed under the name uncultured bacterium. RNAcentral describes it as "bacterial SSU rRNA". It matches the Rfam family "Bacterial small subunit ribosomal RNA", at positions 9 to 870 of the family's 1533-position model. The record is from RNAcentral.
GAGUUUGAUCAUGGCUCAGGACGAACGCUGGCGGCGUGCUUAACACAUGCAAGUCGAGCGAUGAAGCCCCUUUGGGGGUGGAUUAGCGGCGGACGGGUGAGUAACACGUGGGUAACCUGCCUCAAAGAGGGGGAUAGCCUCCCGAAAGGGAGAUUAAUACCGCAUAAAGCAGAAUUCCACAUGGAGUUUUGAUGAAAGGAGUAAUCCGCUUUGAGAUGGACCCGCGGCGCAUUAGCUAGUUGGUGGGGUAACGGCCUACCAAGGCAACGAUGCGUAGCCGACCUGAGAGGGUGAUCGGCCACAUUGGAACUGAGAGACGGUCCAGACUCCUACGGGAGGCAGCAGUGGGGAAUAUUGCACAAUGGGCGAAAGCCUGAUGCAGCAACGCCGCGUGAGUGAUGAAGGUCUUCGGAUUGUAAAGCUCUGUCUUCUGGGACGACAAUGACGGUACCAGAGGAGGAAGCCACGGCUAACUACGUGCCAGCAGCCGCGGUAAUACGUAGGUGGCAAGCGUUGUCCGGAUUUACUGGGCGUAAAGGAUGUGUAGGCGGAUAUUUAAGUGAGAUGUGAAUCCCCGGGCUUACUUGGGGGCUGCUUUCAACUGGAUGUCUAGAGUGCAGGAGAGGAAGCAGAAUUCUAGUGAGCGGUGAAUGCGUAGAGAUAGGAAGAUACCGUGGCGAAGCGGCUUCUGGCUGUACUGACCUGAGGAUGAAGCGUGGGAGCAACAGGAUAGAUACCCUGGUAGUCACGCCGUAACGAUGAUACUAGUGUAGGAGGAUCGACUCCUCUGUGCCCAGUUACACAUAAGAUUCC